RNAcentral lists this ribosomal RNA (884 nucleotides) under Torula pluriseptata. RNAcentral describes it as "partial 28S ribosomal RNA". It matches the Rfam family "Eukaryotic large subunit ribosomal RNA", at positions 37 to 937 of the family's 3401-position model. The record is from RNAcentral. Lineage: Eukaryota; Fungi; Ascomycota; Dothideomycetes; Pleosporales; Torulaceae.
AGCAUAUCAAUAAGCGGAGGAAAAGAAACCAACAGGGAUUGCCCCAGUAACGGCGAGUGAAGCGGCAACAGCUCAAAUUUGAAAUCUGGCCCCCUCGGGGCCCGAGUUGUAAUUUGCAGAGGGAGCUUUUGGCGUCGGUCGUGGUCUAAGUUCCUUGGAACAGGACGUCACAGAGGGUGAGAAUCCCGUACGUGGCCGCCGGCCUUCGCCUUGUAAAGCCCCUUCGACGAGUCGAGUUGUUUGGGAAUGCAGCUCUAAAUGGGAGGUAAAUUCCUUCUAAAGCUAAAUACCCGCCAGAGACCGAUAGCGCACAAGUAGAGUGAUCGAAAGAUGAAAAGCACUUUGGAAAGAGAGUGAAAAAGCACGUGAAAUUGUUGAAAGGGAAGCGCUUGCGGCUAGACGUGCCCGCGGUUGAUCAUCCAGGCUCCGGCCUGGUGCACUCCUCCGCGGGCAGGCCAGCAUCAGUUCGGGCGGUCGGAUAAAGGCCUCUGUCACGUACCACCCCUCGGGGUGGCCUUAUAGGGGAGGCGCAACACGGCCAGCUCGGACUGAGGUUCCGCGCAUCUGCUAGGAUGCUGGCGUAAUAGCAGCAAGCGGCCCGUCUUGAAACACGGACCAAGGAGUCUAACAUCUAUGCGAGUGUUUGGGUGUCAAGCCCGAGCGCGCAAUGAAAGUGAACGGAGGUGGGAACCCUCACGGGUGCACCAUCGACCGAUCCUGAUGUCUUCGGAUGGAUUUGAGUAAGAGCAUAGCUGUUGGGACCCGAAAGAUGGUGAACUAUGCCUGAAUAGGGUGAAGCCAGAGGAAACUCUGGUGGAGGCUCGCAGCGGUUCUGACGUGCAAAUCGAUCGUCAAAUUUGGGCAUAGGGGCGAAAGACUAAUCG